AUUGAACGCUGGCGGCAUGCUUUACACAUGCAAGUCGAACGGUAACAGGCCUUCGGGUGCUGACGAGUGGCGAACGGGUGAGUAAUGCAUCGGAACGUACCCAGAGGUGGGGGAUAACGCAGCGAAAGCUGUGCUAAUACCGCAUGUGAUCUGAGGAUGAAAGCGGGGGACCGAGCAGCAAUGUUUGGCCUCGCGCCUUUGGAGCGGCCGAUGUCGGAUUAGCUAGUUGGUGGGGUAAAGGCCUACCAAGGCGACGAUCCGUAGCUGGUCUGAGAGGACGACCAGCCACACUGGGACUGAGACACGGCCCAGACUCCUACGGGAGGCAGCAGUGGGGAAUUUUGGACAAUGGGCGCAAGCCUGAUCCAGCAAUGCCGCGUGCGGGAAGAAGGCCUUCGGGUUGUAAACCGCUUUUGGCAAGAACGAAACGGUGUCCGCUAAUACCGGGCGCUAAUGACGGUACCUGCAGAAUAAGCACCGGCUAACUACGUG
This 492-nucleotide ribosomal RNA is filed under the name uncultured bacterium. RNAcentral's name for it is "partial 16S ribosomal RNA". It matches the Rfam family "Bacterial small subunit ribosomal RNA", at positions 29 to 507 of the family's 1533-position model. The record is from RNAcentral.